GGCAACCUACGGGAGGCAGCAGUAGGGAAUCUUCCACAAUGGACGAAAGUCUGAUGGAGCAACGCCGCGUGAGUGAAGAAGGGUUUCGGCUCGUAAAGCUCUGUUGGUAGUGAAGAAAGAUAGAGGUAGUAACUGGCCUUUAUUUGACGGUAAUUACUUAGAAAGUCACGGCUAACUACGUGCCAGCAGCCGCGGUAAUACGUAGGGGGGAAGCGUUAUCCGGAAUUACUGGGUGUUAAGGGAGCGUA
Molecule: ribosomal RNA, 248 nt
Filed under: uncultured bacterium
Lineage: Bacteria
Description: partial 16S ribosomal RNA
Rfam family: Bacterial small subunit ribosomal RNA
Source: RNAcentral